Long non-coding RNA from Triticum aestivum (bread wheat), 1301 nucleotides. RefSeq lists it as uncharacterized. NCBI's taxonomy places the organism in Eukaryota, Viridiplantae, Streptophyta, Magnoliopsida, Poales, Poaceae. The record is from RefSeq and is a predicted model, not a curated record. The transcript has 3 exons.
UCUUAGGUGUUCUCGGGGGUAAGCGAGUCAGUACAAUCGGUUGCACAACCGUCCAGUCCAUAUCAUAAUUGUCAUAAUCAAUCAUAUCAGUAGGUGGCAUACUUGCCUGCUCAAGUCCAUCUACUAUGGAUGUGGGCUUGGACCAAGCCAUCCCCAAACACUGAACCGGAUCUUGAAAAUGGGACUGAACUGAAUCCGACUUCUUGGUAGCCCAGUGGCUUUUGGUCCCCAUCGGAAAGUGCUGAAUGGAUUGCUCCUUGCCCAACGACAAAAAGAAAUAAAUUUAGGAGAGGAUUGAUAGGCUUAAGCAUUCAGGGCUGGUCGCUCUUAUGGAUACCUGUGAGCUAGAGUCGGGAAUCGAAAAGGAGACAACGGAAGCCAUACAGAUCUAGUUGGGAAUGCUGUUCAUGCAGUGGAGAGCAUAAAUGACCGGCCCUUGAGGCGCGAGUAGACUUAUCAUAUAGAAAGGAAAGAGAUAAGCGGAGGGAGGAUGGUUUGAUGAUAGCCAAGAUCUCCAUCUCAUUUGUCACUCUCGUAUUCUUAAUAGGAAUCGGCAAGCAGAUACAACCACUAGGCCAUUGCCAUUCGACUAGUCUAUCAGAGUAUCCUACGAAGUCAGGUCCAGUAGGCGCAGGAUGCGCUAAGCCAUUCGAUCUUCCUGCUGGUGGUCCACCAUAGAGCUCCUAUGUAGCCGUUUGUUUUCUCGCUUAACUAAUUUGUAUGAGGUGAUACAGCUGAGAUCAGCCAACGGUUCGAGCACUUAGCACAAUGUGCCACUUAACCGGACGAGCGCAAGACCGGGUCUACCUACCUUACGACAUUUAUGAAAAACGAACGUUGUAUUAAGGGGUUUCUAUCAGUUAGUAACAAAGCCGGCAGUAUCCUUGAAUUCAGGGGUCAGCUACGGGAGGUAUGUUUCCAUGUGUGCCGAAGAAGCGUCUAUCAUUAUACGCUGUUUAUCCAAUCAAAAACUUCUUCGUUUAGUUGGUAGAACCCACGCCAAUAUCAUAUUGACUCUCUCUCGUCCAAUAAGAGUUUCCGAGAGUUACUUUAUUCAAAUUCUCUCCUUUCCAAAGCUCCACAAGGAAAAAAGAGUAAUAGGACAACAAUAUUGCUUUCAUUUAUUUUGAGUUCUUUCUUUGUUGAGAUGGAAAUCGACGUUCUUUUGAAAAGGGCUAGGUAGUUUGCGCGCAGGCAAAACUUCUUCAUGAAAGGUCAAAAAUAGACUUGGAUUUCAUGGGUUUCUUAAUGACUAGUCGUUCGUUUGAAGCCUGAAGAAACCGGCAGAGAAAGAGGCAAAG